RNAcentral lists this long non-coding RNA (566 nucleotides) under Elaeis guineensis (African oil palm). Its description in RNAcentral is "long non-coding RNA (EGUI_LNC082330)". Lineage: Eukaryota; Viridiplantae; Streptophyta; Magnoliopsida; Arecales; Arecaceae. The record is from RNAcentral.
AGCCUAUUAUGGUUAAGGGAAGCAAGACAAUUCUUCUUCUUAUGACCCUGCUUCCGACAGUAGAAGCAACAUGCCUGAUUUGGAUCGAUUUUGGACUAAUUAUUUUGACGGGACUAAGAAGCCCCAAUACGAACCCAUUUGUACUGCUGAACCAAAUUCAACUUUCGAUACUAAUUAAUGAAGUUGGGUCCCAUAAGUCAUCACUGUCUAACAGCGAUUGGAGCAAUUAAAGUUUAGCUUUAUUUUGAGAAAAGAGAACAAUGACCUAAUGUAUAUGAAUUAUUUUGAGCCUAGAGACUUGGACUUUAGUGUCAAAGUUCUCCCACUAUUUUAUUCAAAUUGGUAGCCUCUACCUCCAAUUCGGGAAUUACUUUAAUUUCUUAGUAGGUACUAGAAUCCACACAGACUACACACAAGCCCGACUUUGAUCGGCCAACCCAUCUGCAUCUACGAGUAGGUUCAUUAACCAAUUGUUUCUCCAAAUAACUUCUAGUAAUUUAAUUUUGCCACAGAAACCUAAUCAGUAGGCUUUGGCCUCUACUGUAAGAAUCCGGUUUGGUCCAACC